CUCGUUUCACUCCUCGAUUCUUCUCGGUGAUCUCUCUUCGUCCACAUACACUCAACUGCUCGAGCUGCUCCUCCCAUCACCAACCUCAAUGUUAGCUGCGCCCAGGAGACACCACCACCAGAACAGUGCAUCUCUUCUACUGCACACCACUUCUACUGCACACCACCGCAAGUCAGCCAUUCUAAGGAAGCCCACCGCGCACACCCACUGCAACACGAAGACGGUUCGAAUGGAGAACAAUCUGAUCUGAACAGGUCUAAUAGGAGCAGAUUUUGCUGGUUACCGAAGAGACUGAGUAAAAGAAGAGGAAACUGAAAUUACAGGAAAUGGAAUGGAAAUGAAUACAAACUGUUUGAAGGAAUACCACAAAGGGCCAUACGUAUAUUAAUAACGGGAAAUAGUUCGAGGCAAGACCCAACCUCCAGAUGAUCAAGUUCUUACGAAUAGAACCUGGUUUUUGCUGAUAGAUAGAGCUAGGUAUCACAAGGUGACCGAUUUCGUACCGAAAAUAGUGGUUUAGCGUUGCAAGGU
Juglans regia (Persian walnut) is the source of this 531-nucleotide long non-coding RNA. RefSeq lists it as uncharacterized. NCBI's taxonomy places the organism in Eukaryota, Viridiplantae, Streptophyta, Magnoliopsida, Fagales, Juglandaceae. The record is from RefSeq and is a predicted model, not a curated record. The transcript has 5 exons.